Molecule: ribosomal RNA, 484 nt
Filed under: uncultured bacterium
Lineage: Bacteria
Description: partial 16S ribosomal RNA
Rfam family: Bacterial small subunit ribosomal RNA
Source: RNAcentral
AGUGAACGCUGGCGGCAUGCCUAACACAUGCAAGUCGAACGGCAGCACAGUAUUAGCUUUCUCUUCCGGGGGCCGACUGGCGGAUGGUUCAGCAGUACAUGCGAAUCUACUUUGUAUAGCGGGAUGACGUAGGGAAUCAUACGCCAUUCGCGCAGACGACCUACGGGUGGGAGCAGGGGAUCUCCCGCCCUUGCACGAGCCGAUGUCGGAUUAGCUAGUUGGUGGGGUAAAGGCUUACCAAGGCGACGAUCCGUAGCUGGUCUGAGAGGAUGAGCAGCCACACUGGAACUGAGACACGGCCCAGACUCCUACGGGAGGCAGCAGUGGGGAAUUUUGGACAAUGGGCGCAAGCCUGAUCCAGCCAUGCCGCGUGGGUGAAGAAGGCCUUCGGGUUGUAAAGCCCUUUUGUUCGGGAAGAAAAGCAGUAGGUUAAUACCCCGCUGUUCUGACGGUACCGGAAGAAUAAGCACCGGCUAACUUCGUG